Scatophagus argus is the source of this 1297-nucleotide long non-coding RNA. RefSeq lists it as uncharacterized. Lineage: Eukaryota; Metazoa; Chordata; Actinopteri; Scatophagidae. The record is from RefSeq and is a predicted model, not a curated record. The transcript is spliced from 3 exons.
GGGAGUAUUGAUUUUAUGGGGGCGCGCUGUUCAAUACGAAAUGGCGGAGCCAGUGAACAUUAUCUGCUCACCUGUCAAAUAUAAAUCAAAAGUUUGGCAAUACUACGGAUUUUAUAAAGUUAAAGGAGAACUUGUCAAGUCAGACGCAAACUGCAAAAUGUGCCAUGCUGCUGUACGCUACACAGAGAGUACCACAAACCUCAUUAGUCACCUGAAACGACGGCACGGUGUGACUGUGGAGGCCUCCGCCAGCACCCACCGCCUGUAAGAUGUGGAGACUACGUCUAUGAGCGGGAGCCUUACGACUGUGUGACCCUGCAUGCACUGAGGACAGCUGAUCACUACGGUGUGCACUUUCAUUCUUGAAUUCUCAGGGAGUCAGCGGGUUCAUGAGGACAGGAUGGACAGUCUGAAAGCACAAUACCCCCAGCUACUGCUGUUCCUGGCUUGGAGGCAUAAAAAGACUUGCAGUUAUACCGAUGAGCUCAGAGACAUCUUCCACUCUUGCGUGUCACUUCAUACUGAUACAUCAUUGUGAAAGUGCUUCCCAAUGCCAUAAAUCACCAAAUCUCUUGUUUUGAAAGAGAGAAACAAGCUAUUGGAGCCUCUCUGAAUAAGAACAGAAAAAGACACAGUGAGAAGCAACUGUAACAUGAAGAGACUUACAAGAAAUAUGGGUUUGAUAAGGAAGACUCUGGCUAGGAUGGACUGAGAAACUAUACUAGAGCUGCAGAAAUAGAAAGUAAGUGAAAUACAAGUAAAAAUGAUGAUGGAACCCUCAUUAUGAACACAAGAUCUGCCCACAAUUUUAAUGAUGUUAUCUUUGAUCUUAAAACAUGUCUUUAGCGCCUCUUGCACUUCCUUUUAAUGAGAGCUCUGUUAAAUGUGUUAACAAUUAAAACUUAGAGCUAACUUACUAUGUGGCAAGUUGUUUUUACCUGCAGAGCCAUCAGGAAAUAAUUUAAUACAUUUCCUGAUGUUUCUCAGCAAGCAGGAGUCAAGGACGUGAGAAAAAAAAAAGUCUGAUGUCGUACCCGUUGCUCAUAGCAACCACACAGAUGUAUUAAAUAAAUGCCAAGCAGAAGUCUUGACAUCUCUUCUCAUGAAUUCUUUAGAAAAAGUGAAGUGAAUGCUGCAGAUGGAAGGAGAUGAACAGUUUGUGAUAACUGAAACAGUAUAUUUCAUCUACCCAGUAUAUUAGAUUUUUCUUUUUUAUAUUAUGUAUAUUUGAUUCUUAUAAUGGAAUGCACUUAAAUGCCAUUGCAUUAAUAAAUCUAAAGUUAGCUGUGCACCUAUA